RNAcentral lists this ribosomal RNA (253 nucleotides) under uncultured bacterium. RNAcentral describes it as "partial 16S ribosomal RNA". It matches the Rfam family "Bacterial small subunit ribosomal RNA", at positions 524 to 776 of the family's 1533-position model. The record is from RNAcentral.
UACGAAGGGGGCUAGCGUUGCUCGGAAUCACUGGGCGUAAAGGGCGCGUAGGCGGCCAAGUAAGUUGGGGGUGAAAGCCCGUGGCUCAACCACGGAAUUGCCUUCGAUACUGCUUGGCUUGAGACCGGAAGAGGUGAGUGGAACUGCGAGUGUAGAGGUGAAAUUCGUAGAUAUUAGGAGGAACACCGGUGGCGAAGGCGGUUCUCUGGGCAUGACCUGACGCUGAGGAGCGAAAGUGUGGGGAGCGAACAGG